RNAcentral lists this ribosomal RNA (490 nucleotides) under uncultured bacterium. Its description in RNAcentral is "bacterial SSU rRNA". It matches the Rfam family "Bacterial small subunit ribosomal RNA", at positions 28 to 509 of the family's 1533-position model. The record is from RNAcentral.
GACGAACGCUGGCGGCGUGGAUUAGGCAUGCAAGUCGAACGGUAGGAUACCUUCGGGUAUCUGAGAGUGGCGAACGGGUGAGUAACACGUAGGUGAUCUACCCUCAAGAUUGGGACAACCCAGGGAAACUUGGGCUAAUACCGGAUGUGAGCUAUCGUGAGAUAGUUUGAAAGGUGGCUUCGGCUGCCGCUUGAGGAUGAGCCUGCGUCCUAUUAGCUAGUUGGUGAGGUAACGGCUCACCGAGGCAGUGAUAGGUAGGCGGCCUUAACGGGUGGUCGCCCACACUGGGAUUGAGAUACGGCCCAGACUCCUACGGGAGGCAGCAGUCGAGAAUAGUCUACAAUGGUCGAAAGUCUGAUAGUGCGACGCCGCGUGAACGAAGAAUCCCUUCGGGGUGUAAAGUUCUUUUAUAUGUGAGCAAUGCUUUUUAUGUGAAUAGCAUGAGAAGAGAGAUAUUAGCAUAUGAAUAAGCAACGGCUAACUCCGUGCC